CAUAGCGAUGGGUUUGGUUCUGGACACUAAAGAAUUUGGUGGCGAUGGUAGUCCAAUUAUUCUAUCAGACAUAACUGGAUCUGAAGAUGCCUCUGGAGAUAUGGAUUUUAAGGUCGCAGGAAAUGAAGAUGGUGUAACUGCUUUUCAGAUGGACAUUAAGGUGGCUGGAAUUACUUUACCUAUUAUGAGAAAAGCACUUCUACAAGCGAAGGAUGGCCGGAAGCAUAUCCUUG
Humulus lupulus (European hop) is the source of this 233-nucleotide long non-coding RNA. RefSeq lists it as uncharacterized. Lineage: Eukaryota; Viridiplantae; Streptophyta; Magnoliopsida; Rosales; Cannabaceae. The transcript is spliced from 3 exons. The record is from RefSeq and is a predicted model, not a curated record.